Anopheles stephensi (Asian malaria mosquito) is the source of this 499-nucleotide long non-coding RNA. RefSeq lists it as uncharacterized. NCBI's taxonomy places the organism in Eukaryota, Metazoa, Arthropoda, Insecta, Diptera, Culicidae. The transcript has 2 exons. The record is from RefSeq and is a predicted model, not a curated record.
AUUUAUCCCACCGCUAUGCCACGACCCGACCGAGGUAAGGAAGAAGUGAAUAAAAAAAACUAGCACACACACACACAGUCCGCACUCCACACGGAGUGCCCCGAAGCGGCAGGCAAAGGUACGGAUGAACGCGCGAACUACCGGUUACCACCGCUCUCCCCCCGCACACACACACACUGUCAGCCCGUUGCCUGUAUACGUAUAGGGGUCGUACCGGGUCCAGCAGUCUAAGAAGGGGAACAAAGGAAAGGGGCAAGGGAGCGCGGGCAGCGACGCACAGAAAGAUCGCCACACAUUUUGCCGGCCAACCCAUACUGGCGCACACAGAACCGUGCCGGUUCGUUUCUCAUACUACUGUUUUCGCAAGGGGGAGAUAUUCGCAUUGAGACUGGUGGCGGUUUACAGUGACGGACAGAAAAAGGCAGCAGCCGGGACGAUCGAGAGUGAUUAAAAUUUAUUAACAAAGUGUGAAGCUUAUAUUUUUAAUGUUCCUUUUUGA